CCACUGUCCCCGGGCUCCAGGUUCUGGCUUUCCCAAUGCUGUGGGCAGCAGGAGGCCUCUGCCAACCUACUAGGGAGGGCACUGGACAAGGCGGGAAGGGACCGCAAAGUCAGUGACCAAUGCUACCUCGGCUCAUGCAUGCAUGAGUGUGUCCUCCUGGCACUAGGCUCGGGGCUGCAGGUCCCUGUGUGGCCCAACACCUCAAGAGGAGCACUUGUUUUCUAGAUUCAGCUUUUGUGAAGCAGAGGGAAGUCAGGAAAUAGUUCAAGGAAAGAGAAUCAUCUAAUGAAUCCCACUUUCGUCCUCCUGGAGACCUUGUGGAGACCUGGAUUCAAACCUCCCCUCACCCUACAUCCCUGAGCGCAGCCCUGAAGAAGCAGUGUGCCUGAACCCCCAGUCCCAGCCCAUGUCACAGGCCACUUCUCCGCCACCCUUCUAGAAAGACGGACCAGCUUCCCCUACUGCUUCUGCCAUCUGCCAGAACCCUCCCUGCCCUCAAACCGGCCCCACCCGUGGCCUUGGGGGCUGCAGAAAUGUGAUGUGCUGAAAAGAAAUCAGCUUACGGAUGAACAAGACUAUCUAAUAAAAUGCGAAAUAUCUAGUGUGUCAGGCAGCUUCCUACAGGCACGGGUAACACUGCGGUCUUCAUCAGCAUCACCCAGACAGGGUGUGACAAGCCAAGGGCCCUGGGCAGCAGCCUGAUGUACCCCAGAGGAGUUGAGUGGACAGCCAAGGCCCUCGCUCAGGGAGGUGGCACUGGCGCCCACACAGCUGAACCCAGGACAGAGGUGGUGCCCAAGCCCAGCCAGCAGCUUCCCGCUGAGGGUCAGUUUAGAGGCUGAGAAGUUCACUGUCCGGGUGCUGGCAUCUCAAGACGCCUGUGGCUGCAUCAGAAUACCGUGCAGGGCACCACACUCAGACACAGCAAGGUGCCCACUUCUUUCUUCCUCUUCUUGGCCACUCAGCACACCUCGAGGCCCCACCUGCAUGACUACAUCUAACCCUGAUGACCUCCUAAAGGCCGUGUUCCAAAUGCACAUGGAUUCAAGGAUUAAGUUUCAAGCCCAUGAACUUUGGGGGACACAUUCAAACCAUAGCAAGGGCCACCUCUUUCAUUUUGUCUCUCGUGAGACAAAUGAAUGCUCGAACUCUGAGCCCACCUCUUCCCCUGGGAACCUAGGUAAAAGGCCUCAGGAGGCUGGAACCGGGGCCUUGGACCUUAUGUGUGCCUUGGGUGACAUCAUGGUGGGUUCCUUAAAGGUAGGCUCCUUGGUGACAAACAGGCUGUGAUGUUCAGUCUACAACUGGGUUGAGGCCAUGAAGAGGAGAGCCUGAAAUCCACCUGCUGCCAGGGCAGUGGCACAGUAUCAGGAAGACAGGAAGGGGACCGGGCAUGUAAGUCCCAAAGCAUCGAUGGCUCUGGUCAUCUGUGCAAAGAGCAAGCCCUUGCUCUGCUCCGGCAGGACAGUGCAUCUCUGCCCUCAUGUACCACGUUGAUUUCUCGCCCCAUGGCCUGACAGUGCAGAGAACAGAAACGGACUUGACCAUGGACUGUGUGAGCACAAUUUCUGACAUGAGUUCCUUCCUUAGGUCAGCAGACACUGGGAGGCACCCCCGGAGUUCAGCAGAGCCCGGGUGCUGGAAAGUUUAAGAUAACUUUCCAUGGUGAGGAGCUGAUCUGUUGAUAGGAGGCAGCCGUAUAAAGCAGCCUAAAGCCCCUCCGGAGCAGGUAGGAAGGAGGCUCAGGCAGCUGUGGCUGUGGAGAAUGUCCAGGCCAGGAUCCUCAGAUUUGGAAGUUCAUAGCAGGGUCCCCAUGAGAUCAAUCCAUAGAACAAACACAGCAGGUGCCUGAGGACCCUUUCCUGGCUCCGGGCCGAAUGAUUCAGUGGUGCUCGCUGUGCAUGACUGGCUCCCACAGGUUUCCUCAGGGUCAAGCUAGAGGUUCCAGGACAACUAGAGUCACACGGAGCUGCCCGUGAUGGUGGCUCAGGUCCAGGGCUGCUGUGGGCUGUCCUCAGCUGACCAGGAUCCAUCCCCACUGGCAAUGCUGAGGGUCCCCCAUUAGGAAAGAAGCAUGUGGUGGUGAGGAGGUGUUGACCUGUGGUUAACAGGCUUACAGGUUAAUCCAGCAUGUGACCAGGUCACUGCCCACUCACCAAAAAUACAUGCUCCAAAGUUCUAAACCUAUAUAGAUCAUCACAGUCUUCAAAGGAGUUUCACAUUGUAAAACCUAUUUUGGGGAGACUUGGCUAGGGCCACAGGUCAUUCGGUGAGCAGUUUGUGUUGAGUCAGCUCUUCAAUAUGACUCCAGACUUUCCUCACCAUCUCCCUGUCUGUGUCCAGUUCAGACCUGGCAUUGGGCCUGGCAAAACCUCUUUCUGGUUUUUAUCUGCUUUCCCAGGUCUGUUCCUGUGCUGAUCUCCAGCACCAGACCUUCCCCAGGACUCAGACUCCCUUCUUCCAUCUCUCCUGGGCCAGCCUCAGGACCUAUGCACAUGCUGAUUGUCUUCCUCAAAUAUCUGUCCCCAGCUUCCCUCCUUUACUCUCAAACUUGUGCCCUCUCAAUUUUUCCUGUGUCCCCCCAAGGAUAUCUUCCACCUUUGUCCCAUGGUAUGUGGGCUCAGCUGACAGCACAUGAUCAGACUAUGUCGUGGUGACUUUUUACAUCCCUCUGCCAUCAGAUAUGCAUUGUUGAUUCACCUAUCAUUGGACUUGGGGCCCAUCAUCCCCAAAUUAACCCUGGGUAAUCUCAUCUUGAGAUCUUAUCUAUACCUGCAAAGAGCUUCUUUCCAAACAAGAUUCCAUCACAGAUCCUUGAGAUCAGGAUGUGGAUCUUGGGGGGAGGGGAUUCUGUCCAGUAUAACAUAACAUGCAGUGAGAUUGUAAUCCCAGACUUAAUGAGACACAUGCAGAGAAUAAGUCUGUUAACGCCUGGGUGUGGGUCGGUCCAGGCAGGACCAGGAGUGACCGAAUGCCCUGAACGACAAGGACUCAGGCAGCCCUGAGGGAACAUUGGAUCCAAACACUGGGAGAUCUGUAUUCUGGCCCCAUUCCAUCACCCCAGCCAAUCUCUGGGAUAAGAGCUUCCCAUCCUUGAACUGCUUCUGUUCUGCAGCAAAAUGAGAGGUGGAGACACAGCUCAGGACCCUCUGUCUCUGGGUCUCCAUCCUAAGUCCCUGCAGUCUAUUGGUGACACUCAUGGGGGAGCUGGCAGGUGCAUGCACCACUGGAAGGAGCUGAGACCCGAGUUGAGAGUGAUGUCAGUCCUGAGCUGGGCCAGUCAGGCCAUUGAUCAGCUUGGGGUCUACGAAAGAGGCUUGGGACACCUCACUUCAGGUAAGGUCCCCCCAAAGCCUAUGUGAGUCAAAAAUGUGAAUGUACAUAGUUUAUUUGAGAGACAAUCCCAGGAGGUGCUGGUAGGGGACACAGGGCAGGGGACAGAAGGGACUCAGCGAAGAGUGCAAUAUCAAGCAAGUUGCCAUCAUGGGCAGCAGGGGUGGUGGAUGGGCUGGGGUCUUGGUCUUCCAGAGCACUGCUGGAGGCUGCUGUGGGGUUGUUAAGUCCAGGACACUUAUGACCUGCUUGAGCAGAUCUUUGAGCACCUGCAACCAGAAGAACCCUUCCCUCUGGGGCACCCACAGCAGGAGUUGUCUGACAGAAAGGCCUGUGGUCCUCAUCCCCUCCAAAGCAAAGGAAAUAAUCCAAAGUCAGAUACUGAGGGAUGAGCCCACACUGCAGGCAGUAAGGAGAAAAUCCAGCCUCAGGUGCCGCUUUGAGCAGGCAGCCAGAUACCUGGACACUCCAGUGGGCGCUGUUUAACUCACCAGCAUGGGCUCUGGCAUCUGGGCAAAGCUCAGAUGAUGCCCUGGUGACAGCGGGGUGAGCACAGCCCGGCCAGGAGCCUUUGGGGGCUGCACCCAUCUUAGGGAAUGGGCCCACGUGCUAAAGUCAGAGCUUCAGGACUCAAACCCGCUCCACAUCCUCCUUCUUCCUGAAGCCCCCAAGGCCCAGCCUCCUCCCACGCCAAGGACCGGGCUGGCAGGGGACUAGACCCUGGCAGACAGCGUGACAAGCAGGAGAAGGAAGGUGCCUCUCUUACAUAAACUGGGGCAAAGCCAAAGAAAGAACAGGCAAAUGCUUCUCAAUGAAGUGAGCAUUACUUUGAUAUCAAAAGGUGCCUAAGGGCCAGGGAUUUAGCUCAGUGGUGCCACCUCCUGCCUCGAAAGCACAAGGUCCCAAGUUCAAUCCCCAGUACCCCCCAAAAAAAGUUCUCAAGAUUUUUCCAAGAAAGAACAAAAGAAACUGUCUUAGACGUGAAGAUUAAUGAAAACCUCUAAAUAAAAUACUGAGCAGGAUCUAAGAGUACCUUAAAGGAAUCAUAUGACAGUGACUAAGUGGAUUUGUUCCUGGAAUGAAAGGAUGGCUCAAUACUAGGAAUCCACUCACAGAUUCAUCAUAUUCACAGGUCUAAGAAGAAAAGUCCUAAGUCAUAGUCAAGUCCAUAGUCCCAGGAAUCAUAGUCUCCUGGGUACCUGAAUUCAACAACUUUCAUGAUUAAAGAAAAACAAACCAUGAAAGAAUCCCUUUAUCCCCAAGGAGUAGAGAAAGCCUUUCUAGUUAUCACUCAAAUGCCAAAAGUUAAAAAAGAAAAAAAUGAUAAAUUCAAUUACAAAAAAAUCUAUAUGCUGAAAAAAAGAAAAGAACAAUGACAACAACCUGGUAUCAAAGUCCAAAAUAAAUUAGACCAAAAACAACUGUGCAACUUCUAUCACAAAGAGCCAGCCUCCCCAAUCUAUAAAGGGCUUGUAGAAAUUGGGAAGGCGAGGACAAAUCGUAAUUGAAAAAUAGGUAAAGAAUGUGAAGAAAUAGUCUCAAGAAGGGACAUACAAAUACAUCUUAAAUUUAUUGAGCAAUGCUCAGUUUCACUCGGAAGAAAAAAACACAUGAAAUAAACACAGAGAUGCCAUUUUACCCAUGAUACUGGGGAGCCCCCACAGGUGUGACAGGGAAAAGGGGACAGUAUUAAGUGGUGUGUCCCUGGGGAAGGUGAGGGCUGCUCCUCAAGGCCACCACCCACCUACCCUUCCCCAGAGCAAGCACCCUUCUAGAAUCUUGUGUCACGGAUGUGCCAGCCCACAUUGGAAACAGUGUGUGUGCAAUGUUCUUCCCUCAAGCUUUCUGUAACGUCAGAACUGCAACACAACUCAAGUGGCAAGGGCCGGAGACCCGUUAAACAGUGACACUAAAUCUGUGCAGAGUGCCACACAACCCUGAAAGGCGGCCAAGGUAAUGGUGGUGAGGAAGAAACAUUCAACGCAAAGCUCCCUUUCUUGUAAAAAGGAGUAAAAUAGGGAUGCACAUGUACCCUUGCUUAUAUUUUCAGAAAGAAAAUCCACGGGAUGCACAAGAGACUAAAAAUGAUUCUCUGUGGGCCAGUGUGGGUAGCUUGGAAAGGGUGGGCUGAGAGAGAGCCUUUUUAUGGUUCAUGUUUGCUGUUUUUGAACUCUACGAAUUUACUAUCUAUUCAACAGUUUUAAAAGUUUACACAUAUGUUUGAGCAUUCAUUACAAUUUUUCCAGAAGAAUAUACACUUUUGGUGGCAGCUGCCUCUGGGCAGUGAGAGAAAAGGACUCUUGGUUAUCACAUUACACAUUUCUAGAUCCUUUGGGCUGUUGCCAUGUGUGUGUACACUUCUUUUUUUUUUUUUUUUGGUACCGGGGAUCGAACUCCAGUCCUUGCGCUUGCAGGGUAGGCGGUGAAACCACUGAGCUAAAUCCCUGGCUCCAAUGUGUGUACACUUCUUAAUAAAAUAUGGUUCAUUUUUAUGGCUUACAUGUUCUUAUUUCUGAAUACACAGCAAAAGGUGUUGGUGCGGCUUCCUCUAGGGAAGCGGGUGAUUGGGACCAUAUGUGAGCC
RNAcentral lists this long non-coding RNA (5916 nucleotides) under Heterocephalus glaber (naked mole-rat). Its description in RNAcentral is "lncRNA (ENSHGLG00100044641.1)". Lineage: Eukaryota; Metazoa; Chordata; Mammalia; Rodentia; Bathyergidae. The record is from RNAcentral.